Molecule: ribosomal RNA, 374 nt
Filed under: uncultured organism
Description: bacterial SSU rRNA
Rfam family: Bacterial small subunit ribosomal RNA
Source: RNAcentral
CGGGGGGAGCAAGCGUUGUUCGGAUUUACUGGGCGUAAAGGGCGCGUAGGCGGCCACCGCAAGUCAGUUGUGAAAUCUCUGGGCUUAACCCAGAAAGGUCAACUGAUACUGCGGGGCUAGAGUGCAGAAGGGGCAACUGGAAUUCUCGGUGUAGCGGUGAAAUGCGUAGAUAUCGAGAGGAACACCUGCGGCGAAGGCGGGUUGCUGGGCUGACACUGACGCUGAGGCGCGAAAGCUGGGGGAGCGAACGGGAUUAGAUACCCCGGUAGUCCUAGCCUUAAACGAUGAAUGCUUGGUGUCUGGGGUUUUAUAGUCCCCGGGUGCCGUCGCUAACGCUUUAAGCAUUCCGCCUGGGGAGUACGGUCGCAAGACUG